CUCUUUAUCAAGUCAUCUGAGAAUGGUAAUUUGUUGACGUGUUUCCAUUUUUUGCAGGAUGAUUUAGGAAGUGCCAUGGUACCAUGGGAGGACUUUACUUUAAACGCAAUAGAACAAAAGAAUGCAGAAAGGCAUGAGCAGUGGACAGAGGUGGGAGAAGCUCUUUAGAGCUGAUCCAAAUGAAAGUGGCUAGUGUGUGAGUCUGCUGAAUCCUGCAAAGCUGUGCCUGAGGCCUUGCAUGUUCCAUCAGGAUCUAAGCAAUAGGAUCAACCUACCAGAAAAGAUCCCCUGCUUCCCAACUUUGGAAACUACUCUCUGGUUCUUUGGCUCAUCUCUAAACCAGCUCCUUCAACAGGUGAAGUUGGACACCAACAUUUAUUUGUAUUUGGAAAAAAUAAAAUAAUAACACUUUCUAUACAUGUGUAUGAAGAACAAAUAAAUACCUGAGACUUAGACGAAUAAUUUGUUUGCCUUCAGAUAGUAUUUAUUUAGAGGCAUUGCUGUAAAGUUUACAAAUAGGCCCACUUAAUUUCAUCGUCUGUUGUUCACGUACUAAAAUAACGGCUUUGGGUUACUAAAUUGUAAGUGAAUAAGUUAGAAAGUUUAAAUCAGGCAGAGAUGUAGGAGGAUGGAUGACAAAUUAGAAGAUUGCCUUUUCCCAGG
This 663-nucleotide long non-coding RNA is filed under the name Fukomys damarensis (Damara mole-rat). Its description in RNAcentral is "lncRNA (ENSFDAG00000023347.1)". Lineage: Eukaryota; Metazoa; Chordata; Mammalia; Rodentia; Bathyergidae. The record is from RNAcentral.